RNAcentral lists this ribosomal RNA (352 nucleotides) under uncultured fungus. Its description in RNAcentral is "bacterial SSU rRNA". It matches the Rfam family "Eukaryotic small subunit ribosomal RNA", at positions 39 to 352 of the family's 1831-position model. Lineage: Eukaryota; Fungi. The record is from RNAcentral.
AAAGAUUAAGCCAUGCAUGUCUAAGCACAGACCUUUACACGGUGAAGCUGCGAAUGGCUCAUUAGGCCACCCAUGAUUUAUUAGAUUGUACAAUCCUACUUGAUAACUGUGGUAAUUCUAGAGCUAAUACAUGCAAGCAAGCUCCGACCCGGCCGGUCGUUGCUCUCGGGUGGCGGCCGGAUUUGGGAAAGAGCGCGUUUAUUAGAUCAAAACCAAUCGGGCCUUCACGGGUCCGUACGUUUGGUGACUUUGGAUAACUUCGAGCUGAUCGCAUGGCCUCGUGCCGGCGACGUAUCUUUCAAGUGUGUGCCCUAUCAACUGUCGAUGGUAAGUGAUAUGCUUACCAUGGUAG